CUAGAUAAGCCCAGUGCCUGAGCCGGUCCGGAAGCCCAGUCCCCAGAGCUGGAGGAACGGAGUUCUCUGCAGAAGGACUUCUGAAGGACCUAAGAAGAGUCCACAGAUGCCUAUUGUGUUAAACAGCAGAGCAGGACACCUCUUCUCAUAGUUCCUGAUGACAUUCAAAUCACAUUAUACUGCUGAAGUAGGUCCGAAAUGGUGAUAUUAGGUCAGAAACGGUCAGAAGGAAAUGUAGAAACAAGAACAGC
This is a long non-coding RNA of Alligator sinensis (Chinese alligator), 251 nucleotides long. RefSeq lists it as uncharacterized. Lineage: Eukaryota; Metazoa; Chordata; Crocodylia; Alligatoridae. The record is from RefSeq and is a predicted model, not a curated record. The transcript has 3 exons.